Long non-coding RNA from Tribolium castaneum (red flour beetle), 873 nucleotides. RefSeq lists it as uncharacterized. The record is from RefSeq and is a predicted model, not a curated record. Lineage: Eukaryota; Metazoa; Arthropoda; Insecta; Coleoptera; Tenebrionidae. The transcript is spliced from 2 exons.
UUAUGUCCAAAUUAAGUUUAUUUUUUAAGGGUAAGCACGCACGUAAUACGCUGAAUACGCUCAAUCGUGCAGCGCCUAAAAAUUUAAUAACGAAUAACGCAUUUUGAGUUUUGAGCGUUUUUAUUAAACAGAAGACGGUCGAUGGUCGAGCAUUGGUAUCCUUCAAAAAUACGCUGACACAUCGGCCUACUCGUUUAAAAAACGGGUUUACUGUAAAAUCAAUUUUUUUUCCGUUAUAGAAAUUGUUCUUAUAGUAUAUUAAGUAUGGAGAACGGUAAGGGUUUGUUACUGUUCGACAUGCUUAUAACGUUUUUUGCACGAUCGGAAUCAGUAUCAGUGUCAAAAUUAUAAAUACAUAAUUUUUAAAUAAAAUGAACGUAUUGAGAUUACGAAUUUAGACGGCUCUGUGUUACUAUGGAUUAUUGCCAAACAAACAAAAAUUGUGUUCUGCCAGUUGUCGAUUAAUUCGAUAAAAAGUAUUGAUUGAAAGUGCAGCGGUGUUUUUUGAUAAAGAAUAAUGAGCGAUUCGGAAACAGAGAAUUUGUUAGAAGAACCCUGGAAUAUUGGAAUGAUCGGCAAUAAUUCCGGAAAAAACAAAAUUACGAUAUGAAAAAUUCUUAAAUGAAGCACCUGAUGAAGAAUUUUGAUUAAUAAGCUCACUGUGAUAUUAAGAGUCUCAGGGACUUGUAGAAGAGAGGAAUUAUAUAACAUGACUAUUAUAAUAAUAGGAGUAAUAUACAACGGCCUCUGAGUUCUGUGACUAAUGCAACUGAUUCAGUUCUAAUUGUGCGCAAACGAGUCGUAUUACUAUUAACAACUGUAGCAAUUGUACUUUUCACUUUUAGUAUGAAUAAAUAAUUAAUAAAUUUUGAA